AUUGAACGCUGGCGGCAGGCCUAACACAUGCAAGUCGAGCGAGCGGCGGACGGGUGAGUAAUGUCUGGGAAACUGCCUGAUGGAGGGGGAUAACUACUGGAAACGGUAGCUAAUACCGCAUACCAUCAGAUGUGCCCAGAUGGGAUUAGCUAGUGGGUGGGGUAAUGGCUCACCUAGGCGACGAUCCCUAGCUGGUCUGAGAGGAUGACCGGCCACACGGGAACUGAGACACGGUCCAGACUCCUACGGGAGGCAGCAGGAGGGAAUCUUGCACAAUGGGCGCAAGCCUGAUGCAGCCAUGCCGCGUGAGUGAAGAAGGCCUUCGGGUUGUAAAGCACUGUCAGCGGGGAGGCGUUACUCGCAGAAGAAGCACCGGCUAACUCCGUGCCAGCAGCCGCGGUAAUAC
Molecule: ribosomal RNA, 406 nt
Filed under: uncultured bacterium
Lineage: Bacteria
Description: partial 16S ribosomal RNA
Rfam family: Bacterial small subunit ribosomal RNA
Source: RNAcentral